CAGCAGCCGCCGCGGUAAUACGUAGGGUGCAAGCGUUGUCCGGAAUUAUUGGGCGUAAAGAGCUCGUAGGCGGUUUGUCGCGUCUGCUGUGAAAUCCCGAGGCUCAACCUCGGGCUUGCAGUGGGUACGGGCAGACUAGAGUGCGGUAGGGGAGAUUGGAAUUCCUGGUGUAGCGGUGGAAUGCGCAGAUAUCAGGAGGAACACCGAUGGCGAAGGCAGAUCUCUGGGCCGUAACUGACGCUGAGGAGCGAAAGCGUGGGGAGCGAACAGGAUUAGAUACCCCGGUAGUCCCUGUCUCUUAUAA
RNAcentral lists this ribosomal RNA (304 nucleotides) under uncultured bacterium. RNAcentral's name for it is "partial 16S ribosomal RNA". It matches the Rfam family "Bacterial small subunit ribosomal RNA", at positions 506 to 809 of the family's 1533-position model. The record is from RNAcentral.